Molecule: ribosomal RNA, 118 nt
Organism: Oncorhynchus tshawytscha (Chinook salmon)
Lineage: Eukaryota; Metazoa; Chordata; Actinopteri; Salmoniformes; Salmonidae
Source: Ensembl
GCUUACGACCACACCGGCCUGAGUACGCCUGAUCUCGUCUGAUCUCGGAAGCUAAGCAGGGUCGGGCCUGGUUAGUACUUGGAUGGGAGACUUCCUGGGAACCCAGGUGCUGUAAGCU